ACAUGUACAUUCCUAUAGCGUUAAUGCACUUAAUCCCAUUAGAACUUUGCAGCUAAUUGUUCUUGGGCUAGAGUAGUACUAGGGUGGCUGACUUCUUGAGAAGUCCUAGUGUUUUACAUGCC
This is a non-coding RNA of Picea glauca (white spruce), 122 nucleotides long. Lineage: Eukaryota; Viridiplantae; Streptophyta; Pinopsida; Pinales; Pinaceae. The record is from Rfam.